GCUGGAGAGAGUGUCCAGAUUUGGGGAAUGGGAGAGGCCAGGCCGGUACUGAGCCUUCUUUCAAAGAAAGCAGAUUUUUAACUUUACUUGAAGAGUUUUACUAUGUGUUGUUGUUCUAACCAAUUUUUGUACAUAUAUUAAGAUUCUAUUUAAAGUUUUUAUAUAUGUUUUGGGUGAGUUACUUCCCCUCCAACAUGCGCACUUUUGUGACUUGUAUUGUCUGUCUUCUCUGUGACACACACACACACACACACACUUUUUUACUAUUGGUCGUAACAUUGAUGUUUGUAAUCGAGACCAUAGCUUUUACUAUUUGCAAGGCUCCCUGGACCAAACGAACCUCUUCAAUGGAGCCCCCACCAAGGAAGGCCAUCAAAUCUCGACACGUCCUGGAAUUCUCUAGGCCUCGGGUCUUCCGAAAGUCUCCUGAGCCUCUCGAGCCGACCUUUUAUAGCAGCGUGGACAAGUCUUUGGUUUCCAGGAAAGCUGUCCUUGGCGAACGUAGCGGAACUUUGGUCCGGUUUGUUGCAGGGUCCCAACGUGGUGCCCUUGUCACCCAUCUGUUCUGUGGGAUGUGGGCCAAAGGCUCAGUUUCAGUGGCUGUCCCCUCCCACUCGCCCCUCUGCUGGCCUGGGGCUGGAGGCUUUGGCCUUGGGGGAGCUUUGUAA
RNAcentral lists this long non-coding RNA (668 nucleotides) under Monodelphis domestica (gray short-tailed opossum). RNAcentral's name for it is "lncRNA (ENSMODG00000048887.1)". Lineage: Eukaryota; Metazoa; Chordata; Mammalia; Didelphimorphia; Didelphidae. The record is from RNAcentral.